CCAUACAUACACCGGAACACCUUGCCCUCAAGGCUCAUACUGUCCGGCCGGUACCCAAUAUGCAGCCCAAUACUGUGCCCCAUGGGAACCUACAACAACAACACCCUUGCAGAUGACAUCUUUGACUGCAAAUCAUGCACAGCUGGUCAGUACUUGACCAGGACGGG
Long non-coding RNA from Dreissena polymorpha, 167 nucleotides. RefSeq lists it as uncharacterized. The record is from RefSeq and is a predicted model, not a curated record. The transcript is spliced from 3 exons. Lineage: Eukaryota; Metazoa; Mollusca; Bivalvia; Myida; Dreissenidae.